This 431-nucleotide ribosomal RNA is filed under the name uncultured Alphaproteobacteria bacterium. RNAcentral's name for it is "bacterial SSU rRNA". It matches the Rfam family "Bacterial small subunit ribosomal RNA", at positions 29 to 507 of the family's 1533-position model. Lineage: Bacteria; Pseudomonadati; Pseudomonadota; Alphaproteobacteria. The record is from RNAcentral.
AACGAACGCUGGCGGCAGGCCUAACACAUGCAAGUCGAGCGCACCUUCGGGUGAGCGGCGGACGGGUGAGUAACGCGUGGGAAUAUGCCCUUCUCUACGGAAUAGCCUCGGGAAACUGAGAGUAAUACCGUAUACGCCCUUCGGGGGAAAGAUUUAUCGGAGAAGGAUUAGCCCGCGUUGGAUUAGGUAGUUGGUGGGGUAAUGGCCUACCAAGCCGACGAUCCAUAGCUGGUUUGAGAGGAUGAUCAGCCACACUGGGACUGAGACACGGCCCAGACUCCUACGGGAGGCAGCAGUGGGGAAUCUUAGACAAUGGGGGAAACCCUGAUCUAGCCAUGCCGCGUGAGUGACGAAGGCCUUAGGGUCGUAAAGCUCUUUCAGCUGUGAAGAUAAUGACGGUAGCAGCAGAAGAAACCCCGGCUAACUCCGUG